CCAAUCGCCUUCCCAGGGCUUCCCUGGUGGCUCAGCUGGCUCAGCUGGUAAAGAAUCUGCCUGCAAUGAGGGAGACCUGGGUUCAAUCCCUGGGUUGGGAAGAUUGCCUGGAAAAGGGAAAGGCUACCACUCCAGGAUUCUGGCCUGGAGAAUUCCAUGGACUGCAUAAGUCCAUGGGGUUGCAAAGAGUUGGACACAACUGGGCGACUUUCACUUCACUUCACUUGAAUCCCAAUCAGGAUUGCAACAGUAGAGGAUAGUGGACGGACUGCAAGGGCCAGGAUACAAGGAACCGAAGCACGGACAAGGAAAAGUGAUACCAGGACACAGUGGGAAGUAACAGCGUUUGACUAAAGUACAGAAUACAUGCUGCAGAAAAGGUGAGAAGUGACCCUGAAGGUUCCUGGAAGCUGACACUGGAACCCUAUACACGUCUGGGGAUUCCCAAGCUGCCAGUGUAAUUGCCAUCAGUAAAUAUUUAAGGGACAAAUGAAAAGAGAGGGAAGAGGACAGGGCAGCAGGAAAGAGACAAGGAAGCAAGAAAGAAAGGGAAGAGAGAGCAAAGUGAUAAUGACCACUGGCGUGAACGUUGGCAAAUCACAAACAGUAGGCAAAUUUCUUAAAGGAUCCAGGUUGUCUCAAUGGAAAGAGGAACAGGUUACUGGAGUGUUUGCAAACAGAUGGAGAAGUCUGAAGUCUGGUGAGUGGUUAGAGAUGAAAACAGGGUCAUUGGUCUCAAGAGUAUCUGUGGUCCCUGGUGGGAAGGUGAAGGAGUUACAUGUUGGUCCAGAGAACUCCAGUUUGAAACCAAGCCUCGGGGCUUCCCUGGUGGCUCAUUGGUAAAGAAUCUGCCUGCUAAUGCAGGAGACACGGGUUCGGUCCCUGGUUCAGGAAGACCCCACAUGCUGCAGAGCAACUAAGCCCAUGCGCCACAACUAUUGAACCUGUGCUCAGAGCCCUGGAGCUGCAACUAUUGAGCCCACGUGACCGCAGCUACUGAAGCCUGCGAGCCCUAGAGCCCAUGCUCUGCAACGAGAGAAGCCCUCGCAAUGAGAACCCUGCCCACCACAACUAGUGAGUAGCCGCUGCUCUCCACAACUAGAGAAAAGCCCCAGAAGCAAUGAAGAGCCAGUACCAUCAUGAGUAAAUAAAUAAGAAAUCAAGCCUGAUUGCUAUUAUAUGACACAGAAUUAUUGUCACCUCUGCAUUAAGCAGCCAGGCCUGGUUUGCAUUGCUCCUACUUACCAGGUGAAGAGAAAAAUCAAGAAAUUGCCCUGGAUUUGCUAAAAAAUGGAUUUUUACCCCUAUGAUUCUUAGGGGUAAAAAAAAAAGCACGUGGACAUCUCAUUGGAGGUUGCUUUAAAAAUCCAAAUCACAGGACUUGGGACUUCCAUGGUGGCCCAGUGGUUAAGACUCUACAUUUCCACUCCAGGAGAAUCUGGUUCAAUCCCUGUUUGGGGAACUAAGAACCCACCAGCCUCGAGAAGCAGCAAAAAAAAAAAAAAAUCCUGCCUGAUACUGGGUAUAUGAAAGUCGGCUGGCAGGAAACAGAGGGCCACCCAGGAAGCCCGCUUCCUCACAGGAGCUCCAGAGCCUGCAGAUGCCCUUCAGGUGGAUGUGUGGGACUCACAGAAUCUAGACCUCGAGGAUCAGAAGAGCCCGGUGCCCUGCGUUCUCCUGCUCAACACGGGCUUCCCUGUUGGCUCAGCUAGUAAAGAAUCCGCCUGCAAUGUGGGAGACCUGGGUUCGAUCCCUGGGUUGAGAAGAUCCCCUGGAGAAGGGAAAGGCUACCCCCUCCAGUAUUUUGGCCUGGAGAAUUCCAUGGACUGUGCAGUCCAUGGGGUCGCAAAGAAUCAGACAUGACUUUCACUAUCACUUUCAAGCUCCUCUGGGGGCAUAGAUGAUGCUUUGUAUCUUGUUGAACACCCCACCACACCAGCAAAUCUAAUCCAGAGUCUACUACACAGAAGGAUUGUGGUUGUUCACAGACAAAAGAUACAUAUCCCUGGUAUAUUAGGAGCUUCUAAAAAUGGAGACGAAAAUAACCAGUAACACCAGGGAAACCAGCUAAAGAUAUGAAUAGAUAAUUCACAGAAAAAGAAAUGAAAACAGUCCUUAAUCAUAUGGAAAAAUGCUCAAACUCGCUCGAAACAAGAACGAUACAAAUGAAAGCUCACAGAUAUAAUUUCCAACCUAUCAGAUUGGCCCAAACUCAAAAGUUUUACAACAUACUCUUGGCAAGAAACAGGC
This is a long non-coding RNA of Bos taurus (domestic cattle), 2250 nucleotides long. The record is from Ensembl. Lineage: Eukaryota; Metazoa; Chordata; Mammalia; Artiodactyla; Bovidae.